AAGAAGAAGAAGAAGAAGAAGAAGAAGAAGAAGAAGACAUUACAACUGCGACAUCUUGGGAAAACAUUCUUUAACAGUAGGUGAUGGCAGACCUUGGACUGAAGGAGUGGGACAGAGUGCUGCUGAUAUGGACUCAGCCAUCAUCUCCCACUGCACUGAAGGAGUUUGCUGAAAGCAUUGGCGCUGCUGUUGGUAACCAGAGUCUGGUAUCUUUGGAGAACAUGGAGAGACUACAACUUUCUUCUCACGC
This is a long non-coding RNA of Sinocyclocheilus anshuiensis, 250 nucleotides long. RefSeq lists it as uncharacterized. The record is from RefSeq and is a predicted model, not a curated record. The transcript has 3 exons. NCBI's taxonomy places the organism in Eukaryota, Metazoa, Chordata, Actinopteri, Cypriniformes, Cyprinidae.